UCUCAAUUUUAUUUAUAGUGAAACUGAGCAACAAAGAGGUUAAGUGACUUGCUUAACUAAAGUCACACAGGGAGGAAGCAUCUCAGGCAGGAUUUGAGCUCAAUUCUUUUGAGUCCAUUGUGCCAUGUAACUCCAUCAUGGAAAGGAAUGGAGACUAAGAAAGCAGUAAUGGAAAGGGGGAUGUAAAGUGGCUGAGUUUCUAUUGGAUGAAUAAUGAGAAGAAGAAUAGAGUAAUGCUGGGAAGGUAGAUUAGGGUUGAAAUAUUCAGGACCAUCAAUAAUUUAUUGAUACUUUAUACCUUAUUUAAUAGAUACUACGGAGCUAGAGAAGACUUUGAGUAGAUGGAUGAUUGAGUGAUUGAUGUAAGAAGAGCAAUGCAGGAAGAUUAUGUGAAGGAUGAGCUGGAGGGCAGAGUAUAUUUACAACUGGAAAAGAAGAAACAGCAAAAUUGGAGGCAAAAGAAUCAGUGAAGGGGUUGUUCCAAGGUGGAAGGUGUUGCAAUGUUGGAAGGUGAAAAAUGGUUAAAAUGGAGGGGCCUAAAGUGAAGGAUAUAAUCUUGGUAAGGAAAAGAGGUGGAGUAGAUUGAAAGUGAGGGACAAGGAAGUUACAAAAGAUGAGCCUAAGGAGAAGUAUUCCUAGAAGUGCAGGAACAAAAAGGAGAAGGGCCAUGUUUUUGGAUAAGGGAAACUUUGCUAUGUGGGAAAAAUCAGUGGGAGUGUUAAACAGAAAGCUGAAAACAGAACUGAAAAUGUAGGGAGAGAUUGGGGACUAAAUUUACAUUUGAGAGUCUUUGGCAUAGAGAUGAUGACUGAAACUGAGGGAAUGGAAGUUACUUCCAAGGUAGAUAGUAUAUUAUAUAUAAAGAGAAGAAGAAUAAGAAGGAAGAAGAAGAAAAAAGAAGAAGAAGAAAGAAGGAGAAGGAGGAGGAGGAGGAGAAAACAAACAUUCAUUAAGUAACCUACCCUUUACAAGGCUUGAUCCUAAACACUUUACAAAGGAUUAGGAGUCAACAAAAAAGAGGAAUGGUCAGAAAGGUAGAAGGAGAAUCAUGAAAUUUGUGUCACAGAACUUAUGAAGAAGCCCAAUUCAUUAGAAUCUCCUUGAGAGUAGUCAUAAAAAUCUAGGUUCCAUACAAGUGUUGACAUUCCUUUCCCCAACAUGUCAUGUCACAAUGGGCCACAACAUGUCAGGCAACACCCACCCCAUCGCUUGUGUCAUGACAAAUCCAUUUCCCAAAGGAGAGCAAGCAUCCUGUUUUUAAGGAAGGAAGAGCAACGACAAUAUGGUCAUUCCAAUUUGAUCUGUCUUUCAUUCUCUCAAUUUGGUUCAUAAUAGGCAAAAAGGCACCUUCAAAAAAUGCCUCUUUCAUUUAUAACUGAAGCCAACUGUGAACAGCACGAGUAGUUGGGGUCAUUUGGAUUAUCCCAGGAAACAUCUGUGCACGUUUUUCCAGGACUAAGCUGAUCAGAUCUACUGUGAAAUUAGCAUAUGGUUAUGAUGGCUUUGCCCUUCAGAUAAAUCAGGACAAUGACCUGGCCUCAACUCAGCUCGGCUUAAUUUGGACUCAACACAACAGUGCAAUUAAACUCAAUCCAGUCAUCCGCUCUUUAUAAAACCUCAGGCUACUCAUGGAAGCUACAAAAAUUGGUGUAACAUAGGCCUUGUCUUCAUAGAGCUUACUCUCAGAUGAGUGGGAAGGCCAUGGGCCCAAAGAAUUCAUCGGCUACAUCCUGAGUCAAUCCAUUUCAAUGGAGCAUACCCCAUCACAUUCUAACUUCAAUAAAAGUUAUUUCACAGAAUAUAGAAGUAAGAUUUAGGUGGGACCCCGACAGUCAUCUUGUCCCAUCCAUCCAUGAAAUAAAUCCUCAUUGUAACAUA
This is a long non-coding RNA of Antechinus flavipes (yellow-footed antechinus), 1878 nucleotides long. RefSeq lists it as uncharacterized. NCBI's taxonomy places the organism in Eukaryota, Metazoa, Chordata, Mammalia, Dasyuromorphia, Dasyuridae. The transcript has 2 exons. The record is from RefSeq and is a predicted model, not a curated record.